UAGGGAAUAUUGGACAAUGGGGGCAACCCUGAUCCAGCCAUGCCGCGUGAGUGAAGAAGGCCCUCGGGUUGUAAAGCUCUUUUGUCCGGAAAGAAAAGCUUCGGGUUAAUACCCCGGGGUUCUGACGGUACCGGAAGAAUAAGCACCGGCUAACUACGUGCCAGCAGCCGCGGUAAUACGUAGGGUGCAAGCGUUAAUCGGAAUUACUGGGCGUAAAGCGUGCGCAGGCGGUUUUGUAAGACAGAGGUGAAAUCCCCGGGCUCAACCUGGUAACUGCCUUUGUGACUGCAAAGCUGGAGUGCGGCAGAGGGGGAUGGAAUUCCGCGUGUAGCAGUGAAAUGCGUAGAUAUGCGGAGGAACACCGAUGGCGAAGGCAAUCCCCUGGGCCUGCACUGACGCUCAUGCACGAAAGCGUGGGGAGCAAACA
This 427-nucleotide ribosomal RNA is filed under the name uncultured bacterium. RNAcentral's name for it is "bacterial SSU rRNA". It matches the Rfam family "Bacterial small subunit ribosomal RNA", at positions 355 to 774 of the family's 1533-position model. The record is from RNAcentral.